CCUACGGGAGGCAGCAGCAGGGAAUAUUGCACAAUGGGCGAAAGCCUGAUGCAGCGACGCCGCGUGCGGGAUGAAGGCCUUCGGGUUGUAAACCGCAUUCAGGAGGGACGAAAAUGACGGUACCUCCAGAAGAAGGCCCGGCCAACUACGUGCCAGCAGCCGCGGUAAUACGUAGGGGCCAAGCGUUGUCCGGAUUUAUUGGGCGUAAAGGGCUCGUAGGCGGUUUAGUAAGUCAAUCGUGAAAUGUCGGGGCUCAACCCCGAGACUGCGGUCGAAACUGCUAUGACUAGGGUCCGGUAGAGGUGAGUGGAAUUCUCGGUGUAGCGGUGAAAUGCGCAGAUAUCGAGAGGAACACCAGUAGCGAAGGCGGCUCACUGGGCCGGUACCGACGCUGAGGAGCGAAAGCGUGGGGAGCAAACAGGAUUAGAUACCCUGGUAGUCCACGCCGUAAACGUUGAACACUAGGUGUGGCGGACUUAUCCACGUCUGCCGUGCCGACGCUAACGCAUUAAGUGUUCCGCCUGGGGAGUACGGCCGCAAGGCUAAAACUCAAAGGAAUUGACGG
This 565-nucleotide ribosomal RNA is filed under the name uncultured Actinomycetes bacterium. RNAcentral describes it as "bacterial SSU rRNA". It matches the Rfam family "Bacterial small subunit ribosomal RNA", at positions 338 to 916 of the family's 1533-position model. Lineage: Bacteria; Bacillati; Actinomycetota; Actinomycetes. The record is from RNAcentral.